UAUCCCAAGUUGUAUAAACUUCUAACUCAAUAUAAAAGACUGUAAAAAAAACCGGCAGUUAGACGGCACCUACGCACUUCUAAAAAUAUCUCUACGAACCAAAACAAAAAACAACAACAAAAAUGGCAAUGACUUUAAAAAUUGCAUUCUCGGUCGUUUGCAUGUAUCCAAAGACUACUUAAGUAUGCAAAUCAGAUGCAAUAAUAAUGCACGAGCAAAAGUGAAUGAAUGUUUGGAAGGCUAGGAAUAAAUUUGAUUACUGAUACUGACUUUAUACCCUCUAUCCUGUAUUUUGAUUAUAAAAACAAA
Long non-coding RNA from Episyrphus balteatus (marmalade hoverfly), 309 nucleotides. RefSeq lists it as uncharacterized. NCBI's taxonomy places the organism in Eukaryota, Metazoa, Arthropoda, Insecta, Diptera, Syrphidae. The record is from RefSeq and is a predicted model, not a curated record. The transcript has 2 exons.